GGGGAUUUAGCUCAGUGGUAGAGCGCUUGCCUAGCAAGCGCAAGGCCAUGGGUUCGAUCCCCAGCUCCA
RNAcentral lists this transfer RNA (69 nucleotides) under Rattus norvegicus (Norway rat). It matches the Rfam family "tRNA". From Rfam's summary of the family: Transfer RNA (tRNA) molecules are approximately 80 nucleotides in length. Their secondary structure includes four short double-helical elements and three loops (D, anti-codon, and T loops). Further hydrogen bonds mediate the characteristic L-shaped molecular structure. tRNAs have two regions of fundamental functional importance: the anti-codon, which is responsible for specific mRNA codon recognition, and the 3' end, to which the tRNAs corresponding amino acid is attached (by aminoacyl-tRNA synthetases). tRNAs cope with the degeneracy of the genetic code in two manners: having more than one tRNA (with a specific anti-codon) for a particular amino acid; and 'wobble' base-pairing, i.e. permitting non-standard base-pairing at the 3rd anti-codon position. Lineage: Eukaryota; Metazoa; Chordata; Mammalia; Rodentia; Muridae. The record is from Rfam by way of RNAcentral.